RNAcentral lists this ribosomal RNA (561 nucleotides) under Triticum aestivum (bread wheat). Its description in RNAcentral is "partial small subunit ribosomal RNA". The record is from RNAcentral. Lineage: Eukaryota; Viridiplantae; Streptophyta; Magnoliopsida; Poales; Poaceae.
AUGGGCCUUGGUUGCACCUGGGGGUGCCCCGAGGGGGGCACAACCCAUCAGGGCGCGCCAGGAGGCCCUGGCGCCCUGGUGGGUUGUGCCCACCUCUGGUGCCCCCGGACCGCCUCUUUGCUCUAUAAAUUCUUUUUCUGGCUCCUUCUUCUGGAAAGAUUAAACACCAGAGAUCUUCUCACCAGGAAAAGCUUCUACAUUGAGAGUUCCAUCUAUGUGUUAUGUGAUGAUGAGCCCAAUGAAUACAUGAAACAUCUAUUUUUCUCAUGUGUUUUCAGCCAAAACUUUUGGUUAUCAAUUGGUUUUGAAUGGAACACUGAUUUGAGCUGCAAUGAUAUGCUUAUUGAAGCCAGAAACAGAACUCAGAUUCAGCCCUUUAAAGAAUGCCUAAUUGCUGGUUGUUGGACCAUCUGGAAACACAGAAACAACAUCAUCUUUGACAACAAAGAAAGGGAUUGGAGCUACUGUAUUUCCUGUUUCAAGGAUCACUUUGGCACCAUCAUGAAAAGAGUCAGACCUAGUUUAAAGGAGGGAAUGCAAAGCUGGUUGGAUUAUUUGUAA